UAAGGUUAAGUUAAUAAGGGCGCACGGUGGAUGCCUUGGCACUAGAAGCCGAUGAAGGACGUGACUAACGACGAAAUGCUUUGGGGAGCUGUAAGUAAGCAUUGAUCCAGAGAUGUCCGAAUGGGGGAACCCGGCAACUAAUGGUUGUCACUCAUUACUGUUAAGGUAAUGUAGAGGAAGACGCAGUGAACUGAAACAUCUAAGUAGCUGCAGGAAGAGAAAGCAAACGCGAUUGCCUUAGUAGCGGCGAGCGAAGAGGCAGGAGGGCAAACCGAUGUGUUUACACAUCGGGGUUGUAGGACUGCGUUGUGGGACGACAAGAUUAUAGAAGAAUUACCUGGGAAGGUAAGCCAAAGAGAGUAACAGCCUCGUAUUCGAAAUAGUCUUUAACCCUAGCAGUAUCCUGAGUACGGCGAGACACGAGAAAUCUCGUCGGAAUCUGGGAGGACCAUCUCCUAACCCUAAAUACUCUCUAGUGACCGAUAGUGAACCAGUACCGUGAGGGAAAGGUGAAAAGCACCCCGGGAGGGGAGUGAAAUAGAACCUGAAACCGUGUGCCUACAACAAGUUCGAGCCCGUUAAUGGGUGAGAGCGUGCCUUUUGUAGAAUGAACCGGCGAGUUACGAUAUGAUGCGAGGUUAAGUUGAAGAGACGGAGCCGUAGGGAAACCGAGUCUUAAUAGGGCGAUUUAGUAUCAUGUUGUAGACCCGAAACCAUGUGACCUACCCAUGAGCAGGGUGAAGGUGAGGUAAAACUCACUGGAGGCCCGAACCAGGGCACGUUGAAAAGUGCUUGGAUGACUUGUGGGUAGCGGAGAAAUUCCAAACGAACUUGGAGAUAGCUGGUUCUCUCCGAAAUAGCUUUAGGGCUAGCGUCGAUGUUAAGUCUCUUGGAGGUAGAGCACUGUUUGAUUGAGGGGUCCAUCCCGGAUUACCAAUAUCAGAUAAACUCCGAAUGCCAAUGAGAUAUAAUCGGCAGUCAGACUGCGAGUGCUAAGAUCCGUAGUCGAAAGGGAAACAGCCCAGACCACCAGCUAAGGUCCCAAAAUAUAUGUUAAGUGGAAAAGGAUGUGGGGUUGCACAGACAACUAGGAUGUUAGCUUAGAAGCAGCUAUUCAUUCAAAGAGUGCGUAAUAGCUCACUAGUCGAGUGACCCUGCGCCGAAAAUGUACCGGGGCUAAAACAUAUUACCGAAGCUGUGGAUACCUUUUAGGUAUGGUAGGAGAGCGUUCUAUGUGUGAUGAAGGUGUACCGUGAGGAGUGCUGGAACGCAUAGAAGUGAGAAUGCCGGUAUGAGUAGCGAAAGACAGGUGAGAAUCCUGUCCACCGUAAGACUAAGGUUUCCAGGGGAAGGCUCGUCCGCCCUGGGUUAGUCGGGACCUAAGGAGAGACCGAAAGGUGUAUCCGAUGGCCAACAGGUUGAUAUUCCUGUACUCGAGUAUAUAGUGAUGGAGGGACGCAGUAGGCUAACUAAAGCGUGCGAUUGGAAGUGCACGUCUAAGCAGUGAGGUGUGAUAUGAGUCAAAUGCUUGUAUCUGUAACAUUGAGCUGUGAU
RNAcentral lists this ribosomal RNA (1554 nucleotides) under Streptococcus alactolyticus. RNAcentral's name for it is "partial 23S ribosomal RNA". It matches the Rfam family "Bacterial large subunit ribosomal RNA", at positions 1 to 1567 of the family's 2925-position model. The record is from RNAcentral. Lineage: Bacteria; Bacillati; Bacillota; Bacilli; Lactobacillales; Streptococcaceae.